UACGUAGGGGGCAAGCGUUGUCCGGAAUCAUUGGGCGUAAAGAGCGUGUAGGCGGCCUGGUAAGUCCGCUGUGAAAGUCCAGGGCUCAACCCUGGAAUGCCGGUGGAAACUGUCAGGCUCGAGUCCGGAAGAGGCGAGUGGAAUUCCUGGUGUAGCGGUGGAAUGCGCAGAUAUCAGGAGGAACACCGAUGGCGAAGGCAGCUCGCUGGGACGGUACUGACGCUGAGGCGCGAAAGCGUGGGGAGCGAACAGG
Molecule: ribosomal RNA, 253 nt
Filed under: uncultured bacterium
Lineage: Bacteria
Description: partial 16S ribosomal RNA
Rfam family: Bacterial small subunit ribosomal RNA
Source: RNAcentral